UCCCUGGUGACUUAAAUGGUAAAGAAUCUGCUUGCAAUGCAGGAGACUUAGGUUUGAUCCCUGGGUUGGGAA
This 72-nucleotide transfer RNA is filed under the name Capra hircus (goat). It matches the Rfam family "tRNA". Rfam says of the family: Transfer RNA (tRNA) molecules are approximately 80 nucleotides in length. RNAcentral also lists the same sequence under 1 other name. Lineage: Eukaryota; Metazoa; Chordata; Mammalia; Artiodactyla; Bovidae. The record is from Rfam by way of RNAcentral.